GCCCCGUGGUUGCUGGGUGCUGCUGUGCAGGUGCAGCUGCCCAGUGGAUGGCAGUGGGCCAGAGCAAGCCUGUGGUUCAUGCAUGGGGGCUGCUCCCCCUCAGCAGCCGCCAUAGCCCGGCCACUGGCACACGU
This is a small nucleolar RNA of Choloepus didactylus (southern two-toed sloth), 134 nucleotides long. RefSeq annotates it as small nucleolar RNA SNORA84. The transcript has a single exon. Lineage: Eukaryota; Metazoa; Chordata; Mammalia; Pilosa; Megalonychidae. The record is from RefSeq and is a predicted model, not a curated record.